GCGAGGAGGGCGGGCGGGAGGCGGGAGGCGGGCGGCGCGCAGGAGGCUGAGCGAGCGGCGGGCGCGGCGGGCCAGGAUGGAUUUCCAGCAGCUGGCUGACGUUGCGGAGAAAUGGUGCUCCAACACGCCCUUCGAGCUCAUCGCCACCGAGGAGACCGAGCGCCGGAUGGAUUUCUACGCCGACCCCGGCGUCUCCUUCUACGUGCUGUGUCCGGACAACGGCUGCGGGGACAAUUUUCACGUGUGGAGCGAGAGCGAGGACUGCCUGCCUUUCUUGCAGCUAGCACAGGAUUACAUCUCCUCCUGCGGCAAGAAGACGCUCCACGAAGUCUUGGAAAAAGUCUUCAAGUCGUUCAGACCUUUACUGGGGCUUCCGGAUGCAGAUGAUGAUGCAUUUGAAGAGUACAGUGCAGACGUGGAAGAGGAGGAGCCAGAGGCGGACCACCCCCAAAUGGGGGUCAGUCAGCAGUAACCUUGCAAGGGCUCCCGUCUGAGAAGGAGAGUGAACCCCUUGGUACCUGAGGUGGGGUCGCGUGCUCCUGGGUUAGCAUUUUGCAUUAGCACUUCGAAACAGGACAUCUGACUCCCAGCAUCCAAAUUAGAACUAAGUACCUUUUUAUUGACCACAAAAUAUCUGGGAUGAGCUUUGCUCAGAAGUGACCUGAAUUUUACUCCCGUUUCAGUGGGUUUCUAUGGGGUUGUCUCGGUAGCCUUUGCCAUUUUGAAUUUAGAGUCCCAUUUUGUGGCUGACUGUUCUCUCUUGAGCUUGUGUCGGAGAACUACCAUUCGCUGACUCGAAUGUAGAGAACUCUGAAUGUAUUAAGGAUAUGUUUUGAGUCCUCACAGGUGACAUUGUGGAGGGAAAGCAUGACAGAGAAGAAAUGCAGUCUGCACUUUUUACGUACUUUUUAAGUGUCCGUAAGUGAAGGAAUUUGCUUAUGAAGCAUGGGUUUUAAUAUCUAGUCAUUAAACUGCACAAGUGCAAAUACAAGGGCAGGAAAGGAUAAUCACUUAGCUUUGGAUGAAGAGGGGAAGAGAGGCAGAGAAGCCUUUGUCGAAGUGUCCUGCCGUUACUGAGUUACCUGGAUAGAUAGCAACUGGUUCAUGGUUAGUAGAAACAUUACUUGCAUGUUCGGUUAUUUUAAAACAUGCUAAUUCCAAAGCCACUUUUACAAUCCAAGAGUGGAAAAUAUAAAUGGGGUGACAUAAAUUAUUGAUUUCUUUAAAAUGUUUAUAAACCGUCCCACAUAUGAAAUGAAACAUUUACGUUCUCUCUUUAUAACCAGAUGGCAACUUGUUAAAUCAUGAAAACAUUCAGAAUCCAAGUGCCACUUAAACUUUGAAGCCAUAGAUAAAUUUAAUGGGGAAAUAAACCAGGAUAAAAUUUUUUAAGAAUAUGAUGGAAUCCUUCUUUACUUUCUUAAUUUGUCUUUUGUUCCUAAAAAAAAAAAAAAAAAAAAAAAAAAGAAGUGGUCAAGAAAAGGAUCCCCCACUGUAUAAUUUAUUGAAAGAAUUGUCGUCAAGUGCUUCGAGGGAUCUAACUGUGGUGAAUUUUUAAAGCGAUAUGAAAGUAGAAAUUUUUCAGCCGUGGGUUAGCUUGGUUCAAAGGGGGAAGUUUCAGUGAUCCAAAAAAACUAAGACAACUCACAGAAACAGCUACUUAAUAAUUGGAAACACUGCUGUCAUCACUUAGCCAACAAAUACUUCUAGGGGAAAUCCUUUGUAAUGCUAACAUGAAAUUAUUUAAAGUGUUCAUUUUCUUGGACCCUUCUGGAUCUCUCAGAGCAGAAUGCCUCCUUCAUAACCCUUGACUAAAUGUAGCAUCUGGGGUGGGAAUGUUUUUAAUGUGCAUACACACGUUAGGUUAUCAUAGUUUGGGACUUAAAAAAAAAACAGCAGCAGCAGAGAGCACAGUGUUUCUGGGAGUCUUGUGUAUCUUCUAGGCAUAUCAGUAUUAACCUGAUUAUCUCACCAUUCUCUGUCUAAUUGAUUGGUGCCAUGAAGAGCUCGGCUGCUUGCGGUGAAACAGCGUCCUGCAGUUUUAAGUCAUGGGCUAACACAAUACGGUGGUUUCCAUCCAUGCUUCAGUACCACGUUUUUCUUUUCUUGGAACAACCCAGGUGAAUUUCAAGCAAAAAUGACUUUGCUUCCCAGUAGCCCAUUCCCACAGCAGACCUCGGUGUCCCAUCCAGUGGGGUGAGCACCCGGCCCAGGGUGCUUGAGCGCAGGUUCAAGGUGAGCUGUGUUCUGUAGCUGGCACUCAAGUUUGGUAACCUCUGCUUUAACACAAUAGGCCGAAAGAAUGACCUCCUGCCACUGAAAUGAAGAAGCUUGACUAGCUUGCUCCGUUUGAAGGUAACCUGGAAUUUUAUACAUAGAGGCUGAAAAGCUAGAUUUACGUGUGUUUGCAAAUGGAACGGAUGUUGGUAUAAAACGUGUUUUAUGAAAAAAGUGUGUAGGCUUUGACCAAAUGCAUUUGGGCGUAUUAUCAUGUUCACGUUCUGCUCGUAAAACCUGAACUGAGAUCCACUCAGCCUUUCGGUGGGCGGAGGAGAGAUCUCGUCUGUGUUCUGUCCCAGGGGUGAGGAUCACGGUACUGUAUGUUACUCAUUUUCAUGGCAAAAAUCCCAGAAGGCAUUAGCGAAUGGAGCCGUUUCCUCUAAAACUUCCUUUUUAUUCUGAUCGGGCGCCUCCCCGCCAGCACCUGCUGCCACACGGGCCCGUGCACACGCUCACGCCCACCUGGCCCGUGUUCCGUGCGGGGUCAUGUGUGCGGUCAGAGCCGCCUGGUGCCGAGCUCUCCGGGUCGGCAGCGUUGUUAUGCAAGCGGUGCCCUGGCUUGACAGGUCCCUGACUUUCACAGACACAUAAACCCUUACGAAGAAGGCCGGGUGGCGCCGUGGGAGGAGUUAGGAGAGAGACCUGGGUUCUAGGCCUGGCUCUGCCGGGGACCGUGUGACCCUGGGCAAGUCCCCUAACUCGCCUGAAACAACAGGUGUCAGCCCUUCUUGCUUUAACCACUGUCAUUCCACAGUUGCCCUGUGAUGUGUGUGUGUACGCAGAGCAACUCGAGCAAAGUUUCGUCAAGGAAACUUUAUUUAGGGAAAUAAGAACUAGAUUUGGAAUCUUGCCGAGAUGCUGUCCUGAGGACGCUGGCCACAGGGCUGCCUUAGAAUAUGUUUCUGUUCAUCCGUGAGUGUCCAGACCCCCUGGAGCCUGAGGGGCUGAUGGCUUCCCAUUCCUUAGACGAGGACAAGGUCAGGCGUCAGAUACAGAAACGUGCCCCAGAUGUGCAGGCUGUGUCUGCAGAAGGCAGGGCUUUUCCCUGGGCCCUGGCAGACUGUGGCUUUGGAAGUAGAGUAAGUUUUAACAUAACCAGGAGGGGAGAAUUUGCAUGCAGAGCUGGGAGAAAGGGAAAGAGCAGUACUUGGACUUUUUUGCCAUGUCAUCCAGUAGAGAGGAAGAAAAGUGAGAGAGAAAGAGAGAUUGUGUGUGCGUGAGCGUGUGAGCGUGUGCGCGUUGGGGGGAUUGACGGCCUGUUGAUCACUGUGGGCCAGCUGUGAAGUCCUGCCUGUGAUAACCUUACGAAAUCUUGAGAUCCAGGCUUUGAGUGAAUCAGAGACGUUUUUCCUACGGUGGCCUAGUCACUGUCUCUGCCUGACAGUCAUCCUGAGCACACUUUGCACCCUUCAGGGAACCGGAGGAUGAGUUAGGGAGCCGGGGUGGGAGGUGAGACCCCACACGAUGCCUGCCCCCACCCAGGUUCAGUUACGCCCACAUCUCCCAGACUCAUAGCAGCACAUAGGACUUUGGUUUGUUUGUUUGUUUGUUUUUAAAUAUGACUCGAAUAUGCAAAGUCUCUUAUUUAGGAAUUCUCCUUGUGUCCGGUGCCAGAAUUAGCUUUCCAGGGUCCUUAAGUGAAAAAUCUCUCUCCUCUCGUAGCUACCGUCAUUUUUCAUGGACAAAUGGAAACCUUUUCUCUAGCACAACUACAUCUCUAGAUAUUGUGUCUGUCUCAUAAGAGCACAAAGUGUAUGGACCUAGGGGAGCUGCGCUUCCAGAGCAUCGUCGGAACUUAUGUUUUAGAAACCUACCUUGCAUAUUAAAAUUCACAAGUUGGGAAAUUGGUAUGAACAAAUCUGAUUUCCCACGGUUCGAGAGGCACAUUAGGAAUAGGCAGGACUUAAUCUGGGGUGGGAGGAAAGGAAUAAGGGAGAAGGGGAGAGUUAGGGUCUAAUUCUUUUAAAAAAAGAGAAAAAAAAGCUAGAAGACAGGUAUCACGUAAGGUACAGGAGAACUGUUUUCGUGGCUAUCCCACUAGGAGGUGGCUUUGCUCACAGGGACUGCCUGCAUGUUGAGAGGCAAGACCCAUGUCGGGGAUGACUUUGUGGCUUUACGGAUACCCCGCAGCCAAGGAGACAGCAUGUGUCCUGCAAAUCUGGUGGAGGUUUCCUCGGUAAACCAGCUGCCAGCCAGAGAAGCCCGUCUUCCCAAAGUGCUAACACACCUGUGGGCUCCAGUCACCUUGGGCAGCCCGUGAGCCAGAUGUGACCCACAUGUGCUUGCUCUCAGCGUGGAGGAGGCCGUGGGUCAGGAAUGCCCCCCCCCCCCCGCCCCAGGCCUGGAGAGCAGAGCCCACCUACCCCACGGUGCUUCAGGUUGUAGAAAGAACACAAUUAAAACGGCAGCGGAUCGCAGAUCCCUCUUCCCUAUAGCGAGUGUUAACCCCAAAGAGGUGCCACUGCCUAUUACUCAGUCUUCAGAUUACCAGAGAAGCCUAACGUUUUUUUUUGUUUUUUGUUUUUUGUUUUUUAAUGAAACACUAAUCCUCUUCCACAAAGAUCCAGUUAGUUCUCUCGGUUUGGGGACACCAGGUAUGACAUGAUAGGCUGAAGUCCUUUGGAUUUUACACAGAAUACCGAAAACUUGCCAGGAUGCCAGUAGCCUCUGGUGUUCAUGGCAACGUGGUGUCCAUGGUAAAAUAGCUAUACUCACAUUCCCCUGGGAUUAAGUUGUUAAAUAAUAUGUUGUCUCUGAUAUUUUUAUUUAAAUUUGUAUUACCAAAAUAGAGGGCCCAUGAGCAUCACCUGUUAGAAACCUCGUUUAAAGCACCGUGUGGCUGGAUAGACCCGGGCAGUUGAAAGCGUGCGCCAAGCCACAUAAAAAUAAACAAUUUACUGAGAACUGUAUUCCAGUUAUUCAGUAUCGAGAAAGCAGAUAGUCUGUUCUCUGUCAAACUGCCUUUCCCUGUUGUUUUCUUUUGUUUUCGUUUCUGAAGGGUCGUUUUUUUACUCUGAGUACCUUCUGAUAGCCAGGCGGGUAAAGACACAGCAGUACUGUGUACACACGUCACCUCUUCAGAGGAGAAGGCAAAUGAUCAAUUCUAGGGAAAAUCGGAAACGAUCCGUGAGCCAGUCUUCAUCUGUGUGUGAGAGCAGAGCUUAGCCAUCUACGGGAGAAACAAAAUCAAGGAACGGUUUUGGGGUUCUUUUUCCUUAGGCAAAAAUGUUUCAUGCAGGGUGUGUAUGUUUUCUUUGCCUUUAUAUUUCCUUUCCUAGAAAUCUCUUGUAAAUGACAAAACUGUGAAAUGGGUUGCCAAAAAAUUGUUGCCCUUUGUUUUAGAUGCCACAAGCAGUGUAAAUCCCAAACGGAACCCUGUCCAAUCUGCUCCUUCCUCCCUCCCCAGAGAGUGAGGAUCUCAUCCACCAAUGUAAUUACCAUACGCUUGCUAUUAAAGAGCCUUCCAAACUA
RNA transcript from Canis lupus familiaris (dog), 5751 nucleotides. It is a transcript of the gene named maturin, neural progenitor differentiation regulator homolog, with no coding region annotated. Lineage: Eukaryota; Metazoa; Chordata; Mammalia; Carnivora; Canidae. The record is from RefSeq and is a predicted model, not a curated record. The transcript has 3 exons.